This 192-nucleotide antisense RNA is filed under the name Citrobacter sedlakii. Its description in RNAcentral is "Yersinia sRNA 251". It matches the Rfam family "Yersinia sRNA 251". From Rfam's summary of the family: Antisense to phoH gene. Trimmed on 5'end from the original size. Lineage: Bacteria; Pseudomonadati; Pseudomonadota; Gammaproteobacteria; Enterobacterales; Enterobacteriaceae. The record is from RNAcentral.
GUAAGCAUUGAGUGUUCGCUGGCACAGCGCCGAGCGCACACAAUCCUCUUUGCCAAAGCGGACAAUACCGACCAUUUCAUCUUCACUGAAGCGCGCCAGCGCAUCGCUUAAUCCAGACUGAACGUGCGCGGGUAAAUCGCAUUGGGUGAUAUCCCCAUUCACAAUGACCGUCACGUUCUCCCCGAGGCGAGU